Strigops habroptila (Kakapo) is the source of this 431-nucleotide long non-coding RNA. RefSeq lists it as uncharacterized. The transcript is spliced from 3 exons. Lineage: Eukaryota; Metazoa; Chordata; Aves; Psittaciformes; Psittacidae. The record is from RefSeq and is a predicted model, not a curated record.
CUGGAAUGAUCUCGGUAUUUCCAUACAAGCAGCAAACAGCUGCUCUUUCCAGUGUCAGACUUGCUUUCUAGUCUAACAGUAUGUGUAUGGCUGGCUGAAUUUCAGUACCAAGUUUCCUGAAUAUGCAGGCUUUGUGCACAAAAUGAUGGACUUUAUUGCUGGCACCAAUGUGCGAAAGGAAAGUUUUCUUAGAAGCUGCCUGACAUGUCACUGAAGUCCCUUAAGAUUACCAUGGAACUGAGAGAACACUGACCUGCGUUUUGCAACAUCCUCCUUGGUACAGCAGUACUGAAUAUUGGCUGGUACUUCACACAAGGUAAAUGAACACAGGAGAAAACGAGCAUCCUUCCUUCCUGAAGAAUGUGUGGGAAUGUGCUUGCUGCAGAAGUGACUGUCACAUCAAGGAGGAAGAUGAGGAGUUGUAAGGGUGA